CAUAGCAAUAAAAUUGAAGUGGUUCCACCAAAAGCUGAGAAGAUACCAUGCUGGAUGAUCUCCAAGGGAGUGUAUCAUACUCGCAUGUUUCAACAACUUCAGUGGCAUGGCCAAAGAGCACUAUAUAUUCGAAGUGAUAGUAUUAAUUUCGCAUUGCAGUAAUUAUCUUUUGUGUUGAAGUUUCUAUAUAUGUUAUUGCCGUUGUGUUAUGAUAUUAAUUAAUAAUCUCUUUUAGUUUCUAUAUAUGUUAUUGCUGUUAUGUUAUGAUAUUAAUUAAUAAUCUCUUUUAGGCACUGUUGCCAUGAAAAUGAAUUGAGUGUUGAUGCA
Molecule: long non-coding RNA, 327 nt
Organism: Vitis riparia (riverbank grape)
Lineage: Eukaryota; Viridiplantae; Streptophyta; Magnoliopsida; Vitales; Vitaceae
Exons: 2
Source: RefSeq, a predicted model, not a curated record